Molecule: non-coding RNA, 171 nt
Organism: Microcebus murinus (gray mouse lemur)
Lineage: Eukaryota; Metazoa; Chordata; Mammalia; Primates; Cheirogaleidae
Source: RefSeq, a predicted model, not a curated record
CACCGACACCGUAGCGACAGGAACGCUGUCUUGCUUGCAGACUGACACGACUUGCCGCUGAGAAGGCCCACAGGGGACAGGUCGUGGAUGGCCUCGGGUGUCAGCCCCCACCUCUGGCUAGAAGGGAAGCACCGUUAAGGCAGAGCUGUUCAUCGGCUUUGUUCGCUGGUG